AGGACUACACCGCUUCUGGUGCAACGGGACACCGUGACAGUGUGGGAUGCAAAGGUGCCCUCAAGUGCAGCAUUCCGACAGAGGACUAAUGGCCUCCAUGUUCUAACCGGUUGCUGUGACAACCGGUUUGUCGGUUGCUGGUAGUUUUGAAAGAUAACUGCCCAGCUGCAGUCACCUCAGGACCAACGUCCCUCUGGUAUAGUUCAUUUGCUUGUUAUGUAACCUAAGUCUGCCUUCAGUUCUCCAGGCAAGUAAUGUGGACAGAAAAGUCUAUCCUGCAGUGAAGUGUGUGUAUAAAAAUGCAAGUAUGUGUGAAAACAAGAUUUUAAAAUGUAUUAGGGAAGAUUGCUUGCAGAGUAAUACAAACGUCUGUAUACAUUUUGCACUAAAAUGCUGCUGAAUUUUCAUAAGGCCUCUUUUUCAUAUUUAACAAAAAAUAAAAUAAAAUUGAAAACCGAUGUGGAUGUGUGCAGAACUGAACUUAGGAUUGGAAAGAUGAGAAACCGAGAGAAGCCAAAAUUGACAGAUAUGCCCAGCCUUCCUUCCACAAUCAUGUUUGGCACAGUGAUUACCGUAUUUUUCGCUCUAUAAGAUGCACCAGACCACAAGACGCACCUAGUUUUUGGAGGAGGAAAACAAGAAAAAAAAUAUUCUGAAUCUCAGAAGCCAGAACAGCAAGAGAGAUCGCUGCGCAGCGAAAGCAGCAAUCCCUCUUGCUGUUCUGGCUUCUGGGAUAGCUGUGCAGCCUGCAUUCGCUCCAUAAGACGCACACACAUUUCCCCUUACCUUUUAGGAGGGAAAAAGUGAGUCUUAUAGAGCAAAAAAUACGGUACUUUAAAAA
Molecule: long non-coding RNA, 841 nt
Organism: Podarcis raffonei (Aeolian wall lizard)
Lineage: Eukaryota; Metazoa; Chordata; Lepidosauria; Squamata; Lacertidae
Exons: 2
Source: RefSeq, a predicted model, not a curated record